Cyprinus carpio (common carp) is the source of this 1712-nucleotide long non-coding RNA. The record is from Ensembl. Lineage: Eukaryota; Metazoa; Chordata; Actinopteri; Cypriniformes; Cyprinidae.
AGAGGAGGGUCACACACACACACACACACACACACACACACACACACACNAGUUUAUUGCUGAAUAAAUCAAUACCCAAAUACCGACCACAGCCUUACUUUCAUGAUUUACAGCCAUGAUUUCACUAACCAAUUUUUGUUCUACAGUGCUGUUUAUUUUAAUAUUAAUUUAUUGUAUUAAUUAUAUAUUAUUUAUAUUAUGUUAUUGUUGACUUUGUCUUAGGCUGCGUUUGAAGGUCUGAUGCUUUGCUGACAUUCAGGCUUAAAAAAAGACAAAAUAAAAAGAUAAAGUGAACGAGGUGGAAAAGCAAAAAAGUGAACAGUUCAGUAUAUUGAUGAGGAAAGACCUCUCAUAAAUUAUUAAGUAUCUGAUAACCUUGCACAGUAGUUUUCUUUCUUGCCCCAUCAAUGUGGGAAAUGGCUUGUCUUAUCUUAUCAGCUGUUGACUAUCUCAUUCUCCCUGAGCUUGCAGUGUUUGCAUAGGGGCUGCUGCAGAGAGCUUGCAGGUGUGAAGUCUGCUCCGUCAGGGUUUUAGCCCUUGGCAUAGUUGGCUCCCUUCACUGAAUUGUUGAUAUAUCUCACCCUCUGGCAUCUUUCCACCUUUCACAGAAUCCCUUGUUCUUCUUUUUUGCUCCUUAUAACUCUGCCAGAAGAAUCCCUCAUCUGUGGUUCCUGUUUGAACAACACACAGAAAAAGAAAGAGCAGGUGUUGUGCUGGUCCGGAUCUGUCCAGUUAGAGGAGAACCACUGAGUCAUUGCAGCCCAGGCUCACAAGACAGCUGCAGGGGAGCUCGGACCCACUGUUGGCCCCACAGCUGUCACUGUUCCCUGGAUAGAAAAAGAGCAACCCUGCUACUCUUAACCAACCACAGUGACACUGAAAUGCAUUGUUUAACAUCAACAUUGUUAGAGCGCUCUCAAAAGGAAGAGAUCUUGAAGCCCCCUGCUGAUUGUAUGGGGUGGAUUCUGAAUUCUCAACCCUCACGUCCCCUCAGGGCCGUCAGGACCGCCACCAUCAGCCCAGGUAAUCCCUAAUAGCUUUACUGCAGACCUAUCCCAAAAUAUCCAACAACAAACCCACCCCUACACUUCCAUCUACCAAGCUUACCAUAUGCCACACAAUUAGACCAUGUUGAGUAAACAUCACUUAACCCACUUUAAAGCUGAUGAGCUAAUUGAGUUUAAUUACAGUCCCACUGUUAUUGCAAGAAUGCCUGGAGGGAAGGAAUUUGUUCUAAUUAAGAGGCUGCUGUUUGAGGUGCUGCUGUGUCAUGAAAUCCAUUUCUGGGAUGAAGACCUGUACUUCUCUCUGAGAGUUUUAUACAUUUGAUAUCACAUCAGGACAUUGCUGUCAUUUAGAGGAAUCAGAAAUAAUCAAUAAUCAAAUAAUCAUACCCAAGGAAGGAAAUAGCUUGCUGUGUUCAUAGAUGAAAAUAACUAAAGGGAUUGUUGACCCACAAAUGAAAAUUCAUCAUUUACUCAACCUAAAAGAUGAAAACUAGUCAUCAUUUACUCACCCUCAUGUUCUAAUGAUAAAAAACAAAGAUAUGAUAGGAUUCUUAAGAUUUUGUUAAUAGUAACCAAUGUUAAUGGUAACCAAAAUAUUACCAACAUUUUUGAGUCAAAAAGCGUGAGAAGUAUCAAAUUAUGUCAAAAUUCAAACAUUUAUAAAAUAUAACAGUUGUCAUAGACAAUAUUUGUAAUGUUAAACAU